MicroRNA precursor from Oryza sativa Indica Group (long-grained rice), 208 nucleotides. It matches the Rfam family "MIR812 microRNA precursor family". Lineage: Eukaryota; Viridiplantae; Streptophyta; Magnoliopsida; Poales; Poaceae. The record is from Rfam.
AUUAAGCGCAGUUAUGGGUUUCAGUGCCUAACGUUUGACCGUCCGUCUUAUUUGAAAAUUUUUUUACGAUUAGUAUUUUUGUUGUUAUUAGAUGAUAAAACAUGAAUAGUACUUUAUGUGUGACUUAAUUUUUAAAAUUGUUUCAUAAAUCUUUCAAAUAAGACGGAUGGUCAAACAUUGGACACGGAAACUUAUGGCUGCACUUAAA